This 552-nucleotide long non-coding RNA is filed under the name Monodon monoceros (narwhal). RNAcentral describes it as "lncRNA (ENSMMNG00015003874.1)". Lineage: Eukaryota; Metazoa; Chordata; Mammalia; Artiodactyla; Monodontidae. The record is from RNAcentral.
GUCUACCCAACAGGCUUGGUGAGCAUGAAACUGGAGCCACAAUGGUGUCAGACUUAACACAGGUGUCCACCUCCAUCAUGGACAUGGCUUAACCAAUGGACGCAGAGAUCAUAUAACCUGACUAUGCCGGCAACUGCAGAUGCAAAAAAAGGAGGAGUUUGGAAAUAGGAUCAGUGUACUGGAUAAGAACAAGAAUUCUGGAGCCAGGAUGCAGAAGCUGAGGGUGGCAACCUUUUCUAUCCUGUUCACAGUCGCAUCCCACGCCCAGCACAGUGACUGACUGUCCCAUCAUAGGUGCUCAAGAGUUGUUUGUUGAGUGAAAAGAUAAAUAAAAUAUUUUAAAAUCCUUGGAAGUGGGUUCUGAAGCUGGGCCUUCGAAUGCCUGAGAGCAUUUAGCGAGACACUGAGUAUACACAGGGCACUUAAUCAAUUCCUGAUUGAAGAACAACUCUCCCCUGGGAACCCUGCAACUCUUGUCCUCACAGCAUCAGACCAACCGUGCACCUGGUUUGGGGGGGCUGGGAAGCAUGUGGCCUAAUCCCCAGGUCAGAG